UCCGAGCGGUAGCACAGAGAGCUUGCUCUCGGGUGACGAGCGGCGGACGGGUGAGUAAUGUGUGGGAAACUGCCUGAUGGAGGGGGAUAACUACUGGAAACGGUAGCUAAUACCGCAUAACGUCGCAAGACCAAAGUGGGGGACCUUCGGGCCUCAUGCCAUCAGAUGUGCCCAGAUGGGAUUAGCUGGUAGGUGGGGUAACGGCUCACCUAGGCGACGAUCCCUAGCUGGUCUGAGAGGAUGACCAGCCACACUGGAACUGAGACACGGUCCAGACUCCUACGGGAGGCAGCAGUGGGGAAUAUUGCACAAUGGGCGCAAGCCUGAUGCAGCCAUGCCGCGUGUGUGAAGAAGGCCUUCGGGUUGUAAAGCACUUUCAGCGGGGAGGAAGGCGGUGAGGUUAAUAACCUCAUCGAUUGACGUUACCCGCAGAAGAAGCACCGGCUAACUCCGUGCCAGCAGCCGCGGUAAUACGGAGGGUGCAAGCGUUAAUCGGAAUUACUGGGCGUAAAGCGCACGCAGGCGGUCUGUCAAGUCGGAUGUGAAAUCCCCGGGCUCAACCUGGGAACUGCAUUCGAAACUGGCAGGCUAGAGUCUUGUAGAGGGGGGUAGAAUUCCAGGUGUAGCGGUGAAAUGCGUAGAGAUCUGGAGGAAUACCGGUGGCGAAGGCGGCCCCCUGGACAAAGACUGACGCUCAGGUGCGAAAGCGUGGGGAGCAAACAGGAUUAGAUACCCUGGUAGUCCACGCUGUAAACGAUGUCGAUUUGGAGGUUGUGCCCUUGAGGCGUGGCUUCCGGAGCUAACGCGUUAAAUCGACCGCCUGGGGAGUACGGCCGCAAGGUUAAAACUCAAAUGAAUUGACGGGGGCCCGCACAAGCGGUGGAGCAUGUGGUUUAAUUCGAUGCAACGCGAAGAACCUUACCUGGUCUUGACAUCCACAGAACUUUCCAGAGAUGGUUUGGUGCCUUCGGGAACUGUGAAACAGGUGCUGCAUGGCUGUCGUCAGCUCGUGUUGUGAAAUGUUGGGUUAAGUCCCCCAACGACCGCAACCCUUUUUCUUUUGUUGCCAGCGGUUCGGGCCGGGAACUCAAAGGAGACUGCCAAUUGAUAAACUGGGAGGAAGGGUGGGGAUGACGUCAAGUCAUCAUGGGCC
Molecule: ribosomal RNA, 1153 nt
Filed under: Klebsiella variicola
Lineage: Bacteria; Pseudomonadati; Pseudomonadota; Gammaproteobacteria; Enterobacterales; Enterobacteriaceae
Description: bacterial SSU rRNA
Rfam family: Bacterial small subunit ribosomal RNA
Source: RNAcentral